This 30-nucleotide non-coding RNA is filed under the name Mus musculus (house mouse). Lineage: Eukaryota; Metazoa; Chordata; Mammalia; Rodentia; Muridae. The record is from RNAcentral. RNAcentral also lists the same sequence under 1 other name.
UUUAAAGCUAUGAUUGAUGCCCAAGACAGA